RNAcentral lists this ribosomal RNA (407 nucleotides) under Verrucomicrobiota bacterium. RNAcentral's name for it is "Verrucomicrobia bacterium partial 16S ribosomal RNA". It matches the Rfam family "Bacterial small subunit ribosomal RNA", at positions 355 to 776 of the family's 1533-position model. Lineage: Bacteria; Pseudomonadati; Verrucomicrobiota. The record is from RNAcentral.
UGGGGAAUAUUGGACAAUGGAGGAAACUCUGAUCCAGCAAUUCUGUGUGUGUGAAGAAGGUUUUAGGACUGUAAAACACUUUUAGUAGGGAAGAAAAAAAUGACGGUACCUACAGAAGAAGCAACGGCUAAAUACGUGCCAGCAGCCGCGGUAAUACGUAUGUUGCGAGCGUUAUCCGGAAUUAUUGGGCUUAAAGGGCAUCUAGGCGGUAAGACAAGUGGAAGGUGAAAACCUGUGGCUCAACCAUAGGCUUGCCUACAAAACUGUUGAACUAGAGUACUGGAAAGGUGGGUGGAAAUACACGAGUAGAGGUGAAAUUCGUAGAUAUGUGUAGGAAUGCCGAUGAUGAAGAUAACUCACUGGACAGAAACUGACGCUGAAGUGCGAAAGCUAGGGGAGCAAACAGG